CACAACCAUUGACAAUUAAUUAGACCCAACGCAACUCAGCUGCUUCUCUGCUGCUUCCUCUUCUCCCUCUCCAUCGCCGUCGCCGUCCAAGAAGAGGGGAAAAGGAGAUGGAUCCGGUCGCGGGAAGCAGGUACAGGUUUGGUCCGCACGAGAUAGCCGAGCGGCAGGUGUUCCGCACCUCGCCCCUCUCCUUCGCCAUCGUCAACCUCCGACCCACCCGCCCUGGUCAUAUCCUUUAUUUCUGCCAAUUAUGUGUAUGCACAGCUGCUCUACUCCUCUCUCUAAUUUAGUGCCUUCUAGUAUCUACUUCACAUUGCGGAUAUUGGUGUACGUGUUGAGCAGUACCAGAGGGCUUCUUCGCUCACAUUCACAAUUCAGUUGAAUAAAUAUUGCUACUUAUCAGGACGGACCUCACUCUGGCCAAACAGUUCCACAUGUUCACGUUCACAUCGUUCCCCGAAGGAAGGAAGAUUUUGAGAACAAUGAUAACAAUAAUGGCAUGAUGAAUGCAAAAAACGAGACAUUAGACCUGGAUAUUGAAAGAAAAGAUAGAACGAUGGAAGAAAUGGCCCAAGAAGCCAAAGAAUAUCGUGCUCUUUUCUCCUAGAAAAUGUCUAUUAUAUUGUCAAUAUCUUUCGAAUCUUUCUGAGAGGGACUGCAAAUCUUAAGCACAAGUACAAUGCAAAUGAAACACGAAGUGCUGGUUUGAAGAAAUUGAGUAACACGUAAGCAUGGAUACCCACCAUCUCCUUCUCCGGCUCUCUCUUCGUGGAGGACACUAGUUUUGCCUCUUCUUCAGUAGCUCAUCACCUUGAACUAUGAAGAACAGAUCAUAGGUGUGUAUGGCUUCCAGCAGAUCCGAUCCAGAACAAUGACGAAAGCCAUGAUCAUCGCACAAUCUACAUUCGGUUGGACCUCAAGACUGAAAACAUCUUCAGCAAGAGUCAGUGACAAUGAUGCUGCUCCAGCUUUCUUCCUCGUUAUCCUUGCGACCUCCUCACCGCCGCUGUUGCGGAUCUUGCAGCUUCUUCUCUUGAAACUGCCCUCGAUUGAGAAGGCGGGAACAUGGCCAGUACGAUCUGACGACGCAUGGGUACAUCCUGACAUGUGCACUUCUGCUUCAUGACUGCUUUGCAUAACUGAGCAUUUUCUCAUUGAGAAGAGUUGUUGUGAUCUUGCCCUCUUGCCUUGGCCUUCUUCUGACGCUCUGUAACAAUUCCAUUGGUCAUGCAUGCUGAUAAUCUGUUGCAACAGCAGAAAGGAAAAUAAAAAUCUUAGUUCUUACUUACUCCCCAUGGGUUCUAUUAAUGGUUUCUGUUCUUUUGGCCCAUCUGCUGCACUUGUAACAAGAGGUAAAAGAACUUCAGUCGGAAAGUAGAAUGAACUAGCGGAUAAAUCAAACUCUGUAUGUAACUUCUCCAUUUUUUAAGUUUUGUUUUUAACUCUGUAUGGGAUUUUGGGCAAAUUAAAGCAGAACAGCAUCAAAAUAA
This is a non-coding RNA of Oryza sativa Japonica Group (Japanese rice), 1490 nucleotides long. Lineage: Eukaryota; Viridiplantae; Streptophyta; Magnoliopsida; Poales; Poaceae. The record is from RefSeq and is a predicted model, not a curated record.